This is a long non-coding RNA of Benincasa hispida (wax gourd), 1724 nucleotides long. RefSeq lists it as uncharacterized. NCBI's taxonomy places the organism in Eukaryota, Viridiplantae, Streptophyta, Magnoliopsida, Cucurbitales, Cucurbitaceae. The record is from RefSeq and is a predicted model, not a curated record.
CCAAGGUGUAACCUUCAGAGAGGAAGAAUUUUACAUGAGUUCAAACGAGGUUUCUACUUCAAAUAACUUUAUACCUCAAGAUCCUACAAGUUAUAAGGUGGAGCUAUUUGCAAAAACUGUUGAUAAUGAUGCUAAAACUCUUGGGGCCGUUUGGCCCAUGGGAUUGGAAUUGGGUUGGCCUAAGAGGUAGAUAUUCCAGGUUUUCAUUCAGAAUUCCAAAGGGGUAACUUGACAGGUUUUCUCAUUUUCACGCGUGAUGUGCCUCAAAGAGGUACAUAAUCCACUUCUUUCGGUGUUUUGUGGCUCUUCCUCUUCAAAUCUAUUUGCAAUUCUUUCCACGUUGACCAUAAUUUCAUCUCCCUCUUCUUUUCCUUUUUUCUUGACGUUUUUUUCGUGACUGCUCUUUUUAGGCACAAUUUGUCAACAAGUUUUAGAACAUUUUAUUUAUUUUUUUUAGCCACAGUUUGAUGUUUCAUUGAUGGUCUGUGGUGUUCAUUGAUUCACUUUUUAGAACAUCACAAACACUUUUUUAUUUAGAUCUCUCUUUUUGAUUCCAACUGUUCUGAUUCUCAGAUUUAUACUAUUUUUUUCCCUUGGAUUUGUUCUUCUUUCUUCCAAUCGAUGUCUACAAUUUCUUUGGCAUCUCUUAAGCUGAUUCAAUAGAUGGGUAAAUUAAAAUCUCUCCUUAUUCUAGUUGCUAUAGAUCUACUCUUUUUGUUUAGAUCCACUCUCUUAGAAACUCCCUUUCGCUAAUCAGAAUCCAUCUCUUAUUGCCUUUUAGAAGAAAAAUUAUUGUGGUUUUAUAAUUUUAGAGGAAUGGUAGGAGGUUGGAUGUUGAUGAUUGGGGUUUGGUGAGUGAGGUUUUUUUUAUCUACAUUGCACAGGUUAAUUUCUAACCCAAGGCCGAUGAUGAGUAAUUUGUUGUAGAAUUUCCUAUUCAAUGACUACAAAUCCUACCGAAGGCCUCUGUUAUUUUAAUUACAUGAUUUGUUUUUUCUUUGUUGGACUACAUGUGGUUGAUUCUUUUUGGAUUGUUUUGAUUCUUUGAGGCUGACCAAAAUCCACCUCUUGCCGUCUCUUAAAAGAAAAUUUAUCGUGGUUCCAUAAUUUUAGAGGCAUGGUAGGAGAUUGGAUUUUGAUGAUUGAAGUUUGGUGGGUGAGGUUCUUUGAUCUACAUUGCACAGGUUAAUUUCUAACCCAAGGUCGAUGAUGAAUAAUUUGUUAUAGGAUUUUCUAUUCAAUGACCACAAAUCCUACCGGAGACCUCUGUUAUCUUAAUUACAUGAUUAGCUUUUUUCUUUGUUGGACUAAAGGUGGUUGAUUCUUUUUUGGAUUGUUUUGAUUCUUUGGGCUUCUUAUUACUUUUAAUAUCAUUCUUAUAUACUAAUUUUUUUGGACUUUGUUUGAAUGUAUGUGGUGGAUUCCGAUUUGUUUAGAUUGUUUUAAUUGUUAUCAAUAUGUUAUUAAAGUGUUUUUGUGUUUAAUCCCCAUUAGGAAAUUAUGGAAGUUUGAUGUUUGGUUAUGAUUAGUUUGAUCUUUUUUGUUAUCGACAUUACUAACUUGUGAUUCAUGUUGUAUUAACAUUAGAAACGAUUUUUACUAUAUCAUUUAUUAUUCAUUUUUGUUUUCAAUUAUGUGGUAGUUGACAAGGAUUAAAUUGAGAAUUGACAUGUACUUAUAAUUUGGAUAAAUUUGAUGAGAUUUGACCUUGGAUUAUUUUCAAA